Molecule: ribosomal RNA, 660 nt
Filed under: uncultured bacterium
Lineage: Bacteria
Description: bacterial SSU rRNA
Rfam family: Bacterial small subunit ribosomal RNA
Source: RNAcentral
UAGUGGCGAACGGGUGCGUAACACGUGGGCAAUCUGCCUUAAAGUGGGGGAUAGCUCGGCGAAAGCCGAAUUAAUACCGCAUGUGAUCAGGGGAGACAUCUUCCCGAAAUCAAAAGUGGCGCAAGCUACUGCUUUUUGAGGAGCCCGCGGCCUAUCAGCUAGUUGGUGAGGUAACGGCUCACCAAGGCUUUGACGGGUAGCUGGUCUGAGAGGACGACCAGUCACACUGGAACUGAGACACGGUCCAGACACCUACGGGUGGCAGCAGUCGAGAAUUUUUCUCAAUGGGGGAAACCCUGAAGGAGCGACGCCGCGUGGAGGAUGAAGGUCUUCGGGUUGUAAACUCCUGUCAUUUGGGAACAAGUGCCGGUACGUAACUGCUACCGGCUUGAUAGUACCAGAAGAGGAAGGGACGGCUAACUCUGUGCCAGCAGCCGCGGUAAUACAGAGGUCUCAAGCGUUGUUCGGAUUCAUUGGGCGUAAAGGGUGUGUAGGUGGCGCCGUAAGUCGGGUGUGAAAUUUCGGAGCUUAACUCCGAAACUGCAUUCGAUACUGCGGUGCUUGAGGACUGGAGAGGAGACUGGAAUUCAUGGUGUAGCAGUGAAAUGCGUAGAGAUCAUGAGGAAGACCAGUGGCGAAGGCGGGUCUCUGGACAGUUCC